AUUGAACGCUGGCGGCAUGCUUUACACAUGCAAGUCGAACGGCAGCGCGGGCUUCGGCCUGGCGGCGAGUGGCGAACGGGUGAGUAAUGCAUCGGAACGUGCCCAGUAGUGGGGGAUAGGCCGGCGAAAGCCGGAUUAAUACCGCAUACGACCUGAGGGUGAAAGCGGGGGACCGAAAGGCCUCGCGCUAUUGGAGCGGCCGAUGUCGGAUUAGCUAGUUGGUGGGGUAAAGGCUUACCAAGGCGACGAUCCGUAGCUGGUCUGAGAGGACGACCAGCCACACUGGGACUGAGACACGGCCCAGACUCCUACGGGAGGCAGCAGUGGGGAAUGUUGGACAAUGGGGGCAACCCUGAUCCAGCCAUGCCGCGUGCGGGAAGAAGGCCUUCGGGUUGUAAACCGCUUUUGUUCGGGAAGAAAUCCUCUGGGCUAAUACCCCGGGGGGAUGACGGUACCGGAAGAAUAAGCACCGGCUAACUACGUG
RNAcentral lists this ribosomal RNA (484 nucleotides) under uncultured bacterium. RNAcentral's name for it is "partial 16S ribosomal RNA". It matches the Rfam family "Bacterial small subunit ribosomal RNA", at positions 28 to 507 of the family's 1533-position model. The record is from RNAcentral.